Small nucleolar RNA from Myripristis murdjan (pinecone soldierfish), 136 nucleotides. Ensembl annotates it as small nucleolar RNA SNORA69. NCBI's taxonomy places the organism in Eukaryota, Metazoa, Chordata, Actinopteri, Holocentriformes, Holocentridae. The record is from Ensembl.
AAAGCAGGCCUGCAAUUGCAGCACUUCCAUUUAGUGGAGUGCUGUCAUUAACCCUGCUGAGAGCAUCAUUCAGCUGCAGAGUCUCUCACUCCUUUUCACCGUGUAGGUGAUGAGGAUGCUCUGUGGCUGGACAUCU